GACGAACGCUGGCGGCGUGCUUAACACAUGCAAGUCGAACGGAAAGGCCCUGCUUUUGUGGGGUGCUCGAUUGGCGAACGGGUGAGUAACACGUGAGUAACCUGCCCUUGACUUUGGGAUAACUUCAGGAAACUGGGGCUAAUACCGGAUAGGAGCUCCUGCUGCAUGGUGGUGGUUGGAAAGUUUCGGCGGUUGGGGAUGGACUCGCGGCUUAUCAGCUUGUUGGUGGGGUAGUGGCUUACCAAGGCUUUGACGGGUAGCCGGCCUGAGAGGGUGACCGGCCACAUUGGGACUGAGAUACGGCGCAGAAGCCUACGGGAGGCAGCAGUGGGGAAUAUUGCACAAUGGGCGGAAGCCAGAUGCAGCAACGCCGCGAGCGGGAUGCCGGCCUUCGGGUUGUAAACCGAUUUCGCCUGUGACGAAGCGUGAGUGACGGUAAUGGGUAAAGAAGCAACGGCUAACUACGUG
Molecule: ribosomal RNA, 468 nt
Filed under: uncultured bacterium
Lineage: Bacteria
Description: partial 16S ribosomal RNA
Rfam family: Bacterial small subunit ribosomal RNA
Source: RNAcentral